This 544-nucleotide ribosomal RNA is filed under the name uncultured bacterium. RNAcentral describes it as "partial 16S ribosomal RNA". It matches the Rfam family "Bacterial small subunit ribosomal RNA", at positions 355 to 887 of the family's 1533-position model. The record is from RNAcentral.
UGGGGAAUAUUGCACAAUGGGCGCAAGCCUGAUGCAGCCAUGCCGCGUGUGUGAAGAAGGCCUUCGGGUUGUAAAGCACUUUCAGCGAGGAGGAAGGUGGUGAGCUUAAUACGCUCAUCAAUUGACGUUACUCGCAGAAGAAGCACCGGCUAACUCCGUGCCAGCAGCCGCGGUAAUACGGAGGGUGCAAGCGUUAAUCGGAAUUACUGGGCGUAAAGCGCACGCAGGCGGUUUGUUAAGUCAGAUGUGAAAUCCCCGGGCUCAACCUGGGAACUGCAUUUGAAACUGGCAAGCUAGAGUCUCGUAGAGGGGGGUAGAAUUUCCAGGUGUAGCGGUGAAAUGCGUAGAGAUCUGGAGGAAUACCGGUGGCGAAGGCGGCCCCCCUGGACGAAGACUGACGCUCAGGUGCGAAAGCGUGGGGCAGCAAACAGGAUUAGAUACCCUGGUAGUCCACGCUGUAAACGAUGUCGAUUUGGAGGUUGUGCCCCUUGAGGCGUGGCUUCCGGAGCUAACGCGUUAAAUCGACCGCCUGGGGAGUACGGCC